GCCGGGGUGGCCGAGCGGUUCUAGGCGCUACAGUCUGGAAAUCUAUGGUCGCAGGUUCGAAUCCUGCCUCCGGCA
This 75-nucleotide transfer RNA is filed under the name Schistocerca americana (American grasshopper). RNAcentral describes it as "tRNA-Ser". It matches the Rfam family "tRNA". From Rfam's summary of the family: Transfer RNA (tRNA) molecules are approximately 80 nucleotides in length. The record is from RNAcentral. Lineage: Eukaryota; Metazoa; Arthropoda; Insecta; Orthoptera; Acrididae.